UUGAACGCUGGCGGCAUGCCUUACACAUGCAAGUCGAACGGCAGCACGGGGGCAACCCUGGUGGCGAGUGGCGAACGGGUGAGUAAUACAUCGGAACGUACCCUGAAGUGGGGGAUAACGUAGCGAAAGUUACGCUAAUACCGCAUAUUCUAUGAGUAGGAAAGCAGGGGAUCGCAAGACCUUGCGCUUUAGGAGCGGCCGAUGUCGGAUUAGCUAGUUGGUGAGGUAAAGGCUCACCAAGGCGACGAUCCGUAGCGGGUCUGAGAGGAUGAUCCGCCACACUGGGACUGAGACACGGCCCAGACUCCUACGGGAGGCAGCAGUGGGGAAUUUUGGACAAUGGGCGCAAGCCUGAUCCAGCCAUGCCGCGUGAGUGAAGGAGGCCUUCGGGUUGUAAAGCUCUUUCGGCGGGGAAGAAACGGUGGCUACUAAUACUAGCUACUAAUGACGGUACCUGAAGAAGAAGCACCGGCUAACUACGU
RNAcentral lists this ribosomal RNA (482 nucleotides) under uncultured bacterium. RNAcentral describes it as "bacterial SSU rRNA". It matches the Rfam family "Bacterial small subunit ribosomal RNA", at positions 30 to 506 of the family's 1533-position model. The record is from RNAcentral.